This 459-nucleotide ribosomal RNA is filed under the name uncultured bacterium. RNAcentral's name for it is "SSU rRNA". It matches the Rfam family "Bacterial small subunit ribosomal RNA", at positions 26 to 518 of the family's 1533-position model. The record is from RNAcentral.
AGAAUCAACGCUGGCGGCGUGCCUAACACAUGCAAGUCGCACGAGAAAGGGGAGCGAUCCCUGAGUAAAGUGGCGCACGGGUGAGUAACACGUGAAUAAUCUACCUCCGAGUGGGGAAUAACUGAGAGAAAUCUUAGCUAAUACCGCAUAACACUUACGAGUCAAAGCAGCAAUGCGCUUGGAGAGGAGUUCGCGGCAGAUUAGUUAGUUGGCGGGGUAAUGGCCCACCAAGACGAUGAUCUGUAUCCGGCCUGAGAGGGCGCACGGACACACUGGAACUGAAACACGGUCCAGACUCCUACGGGAGGCAGCAGUGGGGAAUUUUGCGCAAUGGGGGAAACCCUGACGCAGCAACGCCGCGUGGAGGAUGAAGCCCCUUGGGGUGUAAACUCCUUUCGAUCGGGAAGAUAAUGACGGUACCGAUAUAAGAAGCCCGGCUAACUUCGCGCCAGCAGCCGC